GUCGAUUCUGGUUUGUAAAUUGCAUCUCUGAUAGUCAUGCCAAUAUGUAAAAUUUUGUAGGAGUAGUUCAGAAGUAGUUCUUCUAAUACGGAUAUUUAUUUAUGCUGUUAGUGUCGUUCAUGCGUUUAGUAGUGCAAUAUCUAGUAGUUCUGCGCAAACUCCAGAAGUUAAAAAAGGGGAAAAAAAUGGCAAUUGUUCUUCCAAUAGUUCUGAUCAUGUGGUUGCAUCUGAAUUUGCAUUCUUAAUCUUUUUGGUAGGGUUGUGGUGGAUUAUUUUAUUG
RNAcentral lists this unclassified non-coding RNA (280 nucleotides) under Hevea brasiliensis (rubber tree). Lineage: Eukaryota; Viridiplantae; Streptophyta; Magnoliopsida; Malpighiales; Euphorbiaceae. The record is from RNAcentral.